GCUCUUCCGAUCUGGGGGAAUGAAGCCGUGUUUUACACAGUCCAUCAGUACACCAUUCCAAACAGAGGGUGAAGGAAAUAUAAACAGCACGCAGCAAUGGGUAAUUAAAGAUGGGUGGAGUCAGUCUGUUAAUCCCUCAGGACACCCUGAUUUGCAC
This is a long non-coding RNA of Nematolebias whitei (Rio pearlfish), 157 nucleotides long. RefSeq lists it as uncharacterized. The transcript is spliced from 4 exons. Lineage: Eukaryota; Metazoa; Chordata; Actinopteri; Cyprinodontiformes; Rivulidae. The record is from RefSeq and is a predicted model, not a curated record.